This 817-nucleotide ribosomal RNA is filed under the name Lactiplantibacillus plantarum. Its description in RNAcentral is "bacterial SSU rRNA". It matches the Rfam family "Bacterial small subunit ribosomal RNA", at positions 527 to 1383 of the family's 1533-position model. The record is from RNAcentral. Lineage: Bacteria; Bacillati; Bacillota; Bacilli; Lactobacillales; Lactobacillaceae.
GGAGGCGGCUCUGCUGAUAGCAGCGUCGGCUGAGCGCAGGCGGAUUUUUAGUCUGAUGUGAAGCCUUCGGCUCAACCGAAGAAGUGCAUCGGAACUGGGAAACUUGAGUGCAGAAGAGGACAGUGGAACUCCAUGUGUAGCGGUGAAAUGCGUAGAUAUAUGGAAGAACACCAGUGGCGAAGGCGGCUGUCUGGUCUGUAACUGACGCUGAGGCUCGAAAGUAUGGGUAGCAAACAGGAUUAGAUACCCUGGUAGUCCAUACCGUAAACGAUGAAUGCUAAGUGUUGGAGGGUUUCCGCCCUUCAGUGCUGCAGCUAACGCAUUAAGCAUUCCGCCUGGGGAGUACGGCCGCAAGGCUGAAACUCAAAGGAAUUGACGGGGGCCCGCACAAGCGGUGGAGCAUGUGGUUUAAUUCGAAGCUACGCGAAGAACCUUACCAGGUCUUGACAUACUAUGCAAAUCUAAGAGAUUAGACGUUCCCUUCGGGGACAUGGAUACAGGUGGUGCAUGGUUGUCGUCAGCUCGUGUCGUGAGAUGUUGGGUUAAGUCCCGCAACGAGCGCACCCUUAUAUCAGUUGCCAGCAUUAAGUUGGGCACUCUGGUGAGACUGCCGGUGACAACCGGAGAAGUGGGGAUGACGUCAAUCAUCAUGCCCUUAUGACUGGGCUACACACGUGCUACAUGGAUGUACAACGAGUUGCGACUCGCGAGAGUAAGCUAUCUCUAAAGCAUUCUCAGUCGGAUUGUAGCUGCACUCGCUAAUGAGUCGAUCGCUAGUAUCGCGGAUCAGCAUGCGCGUGAUACUCCCCGGGUACUA